AAAGUGGCUUACGCCACUGCCAUGGACUGGUUCAUUGCUGUGUGCUAUGCUUUU
Non-coding RNA from Oryctolagus cuniculus (rabbit), 54 nucleotides. The record is from Rfam. NCBI's taxonomy places the organism in Eukaryota, Metazoa, Chordata, Mammalia, Lagomorpha, Leporidae.